UAAGGAAUAUUGGUCAAUGGACGCAAGUCUGGACCAGCCAUGCCGCGUGGAGGAUGAAGGUCCUCUGGAUUGUAAACUUCUUUUAUCUGGGACGAAACCCAAGAAUUCUUUUUUGGUUGACGGUACCAGAUGAAUAAGCACCGGCUAACUCCGUGCAAGCAGCCGAGGUAAUACGUAGGGAGCAAGCGUUGUCCGGAUUUAUUGGGCGUAAAGAGCUCGUAGGCGGUUAAGUAAGUCAGGUGUGAAACCUCCAGGCUCAACCUGGAGACGCCACUUGAUACUGCUUUGACUGGAGUUCGGUAGGGGUAAGCGGAAUUCCUGGUGUAGCGGUGAAAUGCGCAGAUAUCAGGAGGAACACCGACGGCGAAGGCAGCUUACUGGGCCGAUACUGACGCUGAGGAGCGAAAGCGUGGGGAGCGAAC
Molecule: ribosomal RNA, 422 nt
Filed under: uncultured bacterium
Lineage: Bacteria
Description: bacterial SSU rRNA
Rfam family: Bacterial small subunit ribosomal RNA
Source: RNAcentral